GUGCACAGGGCUCUGACCUAUGAAUUGACAGCCAGUGCUCUCGUCUUCCCUCUGGCUGCCAAUUCCAUAGGUCACAGGUAUGUUCGCC
This 88-nucleotide microRNA precursor is filed under the name Chinchilla lanigera (long-tailed chinchilla). RNAcentral describes it as "microRNA 192 (ENSCLAG00000020878.1)". The stretch from base 5 to 83 matches the Rfam family "mir-192/215 microRNA precursor family". Rfam says of the family: This family represents the human microRNA (miRNA) precursors mir-192 and mir-215. Lineage: Eukaryota; Metazoa; Chordata; Mammalia; Rodentia; Chinchillidae. The record is from RNAcentral.